Molecule: non-coding RNA, 759 nt
Organism: Paramuricea clavata
Lineage: Eukaryota; Metazoa; Cnidaria; Anthozoa; Malacalcyonacea; Plexauridae
Source: the annotation of a GenBank genome assembly
AUAGUCAGAUUUGUCUUUCAUUGUGAUAAUAUGUAUAAAAACAAGUCCCGACUGGUAAAAGAAUAAAACGAGUGACUUAUUUGGUAAAGUUAAAGGAUAAAAUCCGCUCUGAAAUCAGUAAACCUUGUAUAUUAUCCAUGCAUUGCAUUAAAUAAAUAUGUUGUUCGAAGGGUUUUGUUCGUUCUUCGCAACAUUUACAUAUAAAAUUACGUCACUGAUGGAAGGGAAUUUCCCGUAUAGAAUAGCAUAGAAUGAUUUUAUUGGACAAUCAGCCAAGCGAAACAUAAUACGUCGUAUAUCGUAUUCACAAGAUGCAUAAUACAGCUAGCAUAGGGCUUCGUUGCCGUGGUUUGCUGAGUCGCUGGUGGCGAAGGCAUUGAUUAAUCAAAUCAAUAAAUUUUAUGCAAUUAUUUAACUGACACGAUAUAAACCUUUUGGUUUUUGUAUAUCUACGACUACGACAAUUAUACAGAGUACAGUUAUAUUAGGUUUCUAGAAGGCACCUAGUCUAGCCUAUCCAAAAAAUAGAGAAACAGAAUGUAAAUAACUUCUUAAUACUUUUUACGGGCGUAAUAAUAAUAGUUAUGAAGGUUAGUCAGUGUCACUUACUCACUUGCAUGUGAUCUUUCGCGUGGGAAACGUCAUGCUCAUGUGCAUCAAAUACAUACUCAGAGUCACGACUUUAAUUAAAGGCCUGUUUACACUUGCAAUUUUUGCUACGAUUUCUGGCUCGAUUUUCUUCUUCUCAUGAAUGUUAAC